GGCGCAUUGGUCAAGCGGUUAAGACACCGCCCUCUCACGGCGGUAACAGGGGUUCGAUUCCCCUAUGCGCUACCA
RNAcentral lists this transfer RNA (75 nucleotides) under Clostridiales bacterium. Its description in RNAcentral is "tRNA-Glu". It matches the Rfam family "tRNA". Rfam says of the family: Transfer RNA (tRNA) molecules are approximately 80 nucleotides in length. Lineage: Bacteria; Bacillati; Bacillota; Clostridia; Eubacteriales. RNAcentral also lists the same sequence under 1 other name. The record is from RNAcentral.